GGCGAGGGUGGCCGCCUCCCCACGUCACCAGGACCAGCUUACAACCGGCCGCUUCAAAGUGUCGAAGCGCAAAUCUGGUGCCGUGCCCGGCACCGACACCGUGCGGCGCGUCUCGCUUAAGAGCGGGGCUGUUCCAGCCCAAAAGCCAAGUAUCAACCGGCUUAGCGAGCGCCUCGUUGAGGACUUAUGCCGCCGCUACCGAAACCCGCGGCGUGUGGGUGGCGUUGUUGUGCCGCGCUGGAGGAUGGUGUUGGGGCCACCUGGCCGAGCUCCGAGAAGCCCUCCUGCGGCAUCCAGCGGUAGAAGCCCACACGGGCAUCGUGCUCGCACAUCUGAACCAGCACACGCUGACGUCGUGGUACAACGCCCGGGCGAAAGCCCUGGAGCGCAUCUCGCUGCUGCAGGGGGUGCAGCUGCCGCCUGCUCGGCCUGUUGCCGCCGCAGCCCUACCGGCUCCCGCCCCGCCGCUGGAGCUGCGGGUGGUAAACGUCUAUCGGCCCGGCGCACCGGUUUAGCUUGCCCGCAAUAACAGUUGGGCGGGGAGGACCGCGUCGCCCGGCCACUUCUCACCAGCAGUCACCAUCACCGGGCCCGACGCCGGCCAAGCGUGCCCAUAUUAGAAGGAGCACAGUAAAUAAAUGUUCUCAGUGCGGGGCCCAAUUCUCCCGCGACACCGGACAUAGGCGGGUGGGAAAGGGCCCCGCAAAAAACAAAAUUUACUGUCCAGCGGCGAACCGUAAUAGGUCCUACGACCAGUGGUUUCAACCAGUUGUAGUUAUUUUUUUAGACUCUUCUGUUUUCUU
This is a long non-coding RNA of Pollicipes pollicipes, 803 nucleotides long. RefSeq lists it as uncharacterized. NCBI's taxonomy places the organism in Eukaryota, Metazoa, Arthropoda, Thecostraca, Pollicipedomorpha, Pollicipedidae. The record is from RefSeq and is a predicted model, not a curated record. The transcript is spliced from 3 exons.